UUCCAAGUUCUCAGGAUUUUGUCGGGCC
Molecule: non-coding RNA, 28 nt
Filed under: Bombyx mori (domestic silkworm)
Lineage: Eukaryota; Metazoa; Arthropoda; Insecta; Lepidoptera; Bombycidae
Source: RNAcentral